Long non-coding RNA from Papaver somniferum (opium poppy), 2733 nucleotides. RefSeq lists it as uncharacterized. NCBI's taxonomy places the organism in Eukaryota, Viridiplantae, Streptophyta, Magnoliopsida, Ranunculales, Papaveraceae. The record is from RefSeq and is a predicted model, not a curated record. The transcript has 15 exons.
UCCUUCGAGUUUUCCUUCUCAUUUCUCAGCCACAUUUUAGUUUUUCACCCUUUUUCAUCUCCUCUCUUUCUUCUUCGAUCUGCAGCUUUCAAGAACCCUAGCUCUACUGAAAUAGAAGAAAACGCUUUAUUCUCUCCGCCUCUCGUCUCUCUUUUUCGACCUCAGAAGAAAAGAAACCCUAAACUUAUUCGAACCUAAUCUCAUAUCUGCAAAUUCAUUUUACAGAAAUUAAAUCUCUCCGAAUAAUCUGAUUUCGCCAACCCUAGAAAUUAGAUUUUGAGAGACGAAGAAACCCUAGAAAGUUAUUUUGCAAUUUCUGAGAAGAAAACAGUUGGGAUUUCUACCUUUAAAGAUGCACAAGGGAAACGAAGUCUACAAUAGCGGAGAAGCAUCAAGCUUCGAUCAACUGUAAUUGGUUUGAAGACUAAAGGAGAUGUGAUUUGGAGUUGUGAAGCGUAUCACUUCUCCAUUGCUGGCUUCUUCUUUGUUCUGUGGUUGAUUACUUAUAAAUGGACUUAUUCAUUUUUUCAAUUACCGGAAGUGAUUUGGAAUUGAAAUAGAUGCGAGAUUCAUCUGUGGUUUUGGGAAGUUGAAUGAGGAUUAAUGCUUGCUGUUAUAAUUUAUGUUUUUGUUAUCAAAUGGCAGUCUUUCAUGGUUAAAAGGAAUUCGUCUCUUUCUCCUGCAAUAGGGAUGUUUAUCCAGAAAUGUUAAAGGAAUCCGUCUGUUGCAGUGUUGGCUGCCAAGGGUUUCUUAGUAUCUCUCCAGAAUCUUGAUUCCUGUAUCACACUUCCGGAAUUUCUCUUUUUUUUCAUCAGUAGUAGUAAUUUUUUAUAUGUAGUAUUAGCAAAAUCAUGGUCCCAACCCCCCACCCCCUCUCCUCGUAAUGCGGCUCUUGUAGAUUAGGAGCUGAUCUUAGAACCAGCAAGAAGCAGCUAGCAGAAAUUAUUGAACAGAGAGUGGUGUAAAGAAGGGAGGAGAGGAUUCUGUUAUCUGUUUAAUGGCAGCAACAUCUCUUAGUUGCCAUCCCAGGGUAACAAUUCUGCUUCUUAUCUUCAAUUUAAGCAGCUAGUGGUCCAGGUGUUGCUGCAAUGGAAGAGCUUGAAUUGCAGACUCACGAGGCUCGAGCAAGGGAAGCAGGGGAGAUAAACAAGAGCUUACUCACACUCUGGCGUUGCAUAAACGGACUUGUGGAACAUUCUAGACAUAACCUUACAGGAAUAGAAAGUUGACCAGAUUGUUGAGAGACUUGUUAGGUGGAAAAACCAAAACAUGCAUCAAACUUGCUUACACAUCAAACUUGUAACAGAUGUGAAAGUGGCAAGGGAAAAGAAUGGUGUUUAUGUUCUACAUAAAAGAUUCGUCCAGGAAGAGGCGGAGAUAAAGGUCAGGUCUUGACAGACUUCUCUUUCUCUAGAUUCAGUUUACAACUACAGGUUCCUUAAUUACAUAGAUGAUAUCCUAACCAAUUACAAUGUCAUCUAUCAGUCUUUGUAAAACUUAUUAGACUGCAAAAUGAUUUGUCCCACCAAUAUUUUGUAAAAUUGGAAGUUUAUCUCCUUUCCUUUCUUCCGCGAUUCUGAAAGUUGUAUAAUUUAUCUUUAUGCCUGUACUCUGAUCCCCUGGUGCAGUCUAUACUUCUGUAGCACUACUAGUAGUGAAGUGUAAAGUGUUGAGUGUUUUGAGAAUUGUGGUAUAACAAGGAAGCAUGGGUUCUUCUUAGAAAUUGAAUUUGCAGGUGUAGAAGCUAUUGGAGGAACUUGGUAAAACAAAGCAAAGGUACCUCUCAACACCAGCAAAAAUGCAUAUGAAGUGUUUGAGACAAGUCCUUAAAGAAGCAGAGUUGGACCUAUGGUGUUUGGAAGUGGCCCAGUUCUGCAUCGACGUCAUUUACAUCAAGCAUUAACACAUAUGCAGGAUCCACAAAGUCUUACAGUGAAGGUGAAAUAGAGAAAGCAUUUAAUAACUUUCGUGAUAUGAGAAUACUCGGGGAAGAUUAGUACAGCGAGCCAGGAGCCAGUUAUUUUCAGUUGCUCGGUCGAGGAAGACUUUAUCCACAAUCAUCAGUCACCAACAACUUAUUAUUUGUGUAGAAAAUGCAGCUGUAAGCAUUUCAGUCACUAGUUUCUCACAUUCAUCAGUUACCAACAGCUUAUUCUCUUUGAAGAGUGACCUAGAGAACCGAUUUACUCCUAGGCUUGUCAUACCAGAGGUAAGAUCCGCGGGGAGAGAUUACUGAAAGAUACAAAUUGGUCCUGGAAAUUCUUCCAUUCAGAGAUCCGCGGGGAGAGAUUACUGAAAGAUACAAAUUGGUCCUGGAAAUUCUUCCAUUCAGAGGUCAUAUACUUGGCCAGUAUUAGUUAUUGUUCACCAAGCAUUGUGAUCUGUUGAUUCAUCGCACUAGAAUACUUAUAUGUGCUGCUGCAAUAGAAGUUUGGGCUGGCUGCCUGCAUCAAGAUCAACUGUGCAACAACUUCAGAAAAUUGAGAGUAUAAGUUGUGUGUAAUCCAUGUUGGAAAAUAGAAUACCGUAAGAAUUUGUUGUUGGAUUCAAUGGAGCAGCUGCCCAGUUUUGUGAUACUGGAAUUUUGAAAUAAAAAAUUGUAUUUUUUUUUAUUUCUCAGUAAAAUUUUUGCAACGUCUAUUGAGGUUGCUUUAAUUAUUCCGUUGCACAAAUUAGAAUAUGCGUAGCACAAAUUGGAAAAUAAAACGUUGCACCGACUAAGGUGCAACUUUG